RNAcentral lists this ribosomal RNA (385 nucleotides) under uncultured bacterium. RNAcentral's name for it is "bacterial SSU rRNA". It matches the Rfam family "Bacterial small subunit ribosomal RNA", at positions 28 to 412 of the family's 1533-position model. The record is from RNAcentral.
AACGAACGCUGGCGGCGUGCUUAACACAUGCAAGUCGAGCGGUAAGGCCCUUUCGGGGGUACACGAGCGGCGAACGGGUGAGUAACACGUGGGUGACCUGCCCUCAGCUCUGGGAUAAGCCUGGGAAACCGGAUCUAAUACCGGAUAUGACUCCAUGACGCAUGUUGUGGGGUGGAAAGCCUUGUGCGGCUGAGGAUGGGCCCGCGGCCUAUCAGCUUGUUGGUGGGGUGANGGCCUACCAAGGCGACGACGGGUAGCCGGCCUGAGAGGGCGACCGGCCACACUGGGACUGAGACACGGCCCAGACUCCUACGGGAGGCAGGCGGGUGGGGAAUCUUGCGCAAUGGGCGAAAGCCUGACGCAGCGACGCCGCGUGAGGGAUGAC